This 1366-nucleotide ribosomal RNA is filed under the name uncultured bacterium. Its description in RNAcentral is "bacterial SSU rRNA". It matches the Rfam family "Bacterial small subunit ribosomal RNA", at positions 28 to 1381 of the family's 1533-position model. The record is from RNAcentral.
AUUGAACGCUGGCUGCAUGCCUUACACAUGCAAGUCGAACGGCAUCAGGGAUGAGCUUGCUCCUCAGCGGGCAACGGGCGAACGGUAGAUCAAAACGUCCCAAAGCGUCGAGAAUAAGGAGAUAACCGUCCUAAUGGGAGGGUAAUACAUCUUAAGUUCAGAGGAAGAAAGCUGGGGACCUAGCGAUAAGGCUACGGCUUAUGGAGCAGUCGAUGGCGGAUGAGAUAGAUGGUGAGGUAAAGGCUCACCAGGGCGAAGAUCUGUAGCGGGACUGAGAGGAUGAUCCGCCACACUGGGACUGAAACCCGGCCCAAACUCCUACGGGAGGCAUCAGUGGGGAAUUUUGGACAAUGGGGGCAACCCUGAUCCAGCCAUGCCGCGUGUAUGAAGAAGGCCUUAGGGUUGGAAAGUACUUUUGUUACGCAGGAAAAGACCUGUGGGACUAGAGGCUGGCACUGACGGAACCUACGGAAUAUACACCGGCUAACUACGUGCCAGCAGCCGCGGGAAUACGUAAGGCGCAAGCGUUGGUCGGAAUUAUUGCGCGUACAGCGAGUGUAGACAGAUAUUUAAUCCCGAUGUGAAAUACCCGAGCCGAACUUGUGAGGGGCAUUUGGAACUGGGGAACAAGAGUGUGGCAUACGGAGGUAGAACUCCGCGUGUAGCAGUGAAAUGCGUAGAUAUGUGGAAGAACACCGAUGGCGAAGGCAGCCUCCUGGGAUAGCACUGACGCUGAUGCUCGAAAGCGUGGGGAGCAAACAGGAUUAGAUACCCUGGUAGUCCACGCCCUAAACGAUGACAAUUGGCUGUUGGCCCCUCUAUGGGGCGAGUACCAAACCUAACGCGGGAAAUUGCCCGCCGGGGGAGUACGGCCCCAAGAUUAAAACUCAAAGGAAUUGACGGGGACCCCCACAAGCGGGGGAUGAGGGGGAUUAAUUCAAUGCACCGCAAAAAACCUUACCUGCUCUUGACUUGAACGAAACGUUUUAAAAAUAAGAAUGGGUCUUCAGAAACUGUAACACCGGGGCUGCAUGGGUGGCCUCCGCUCCUGGCGUGAGAUGAGAGGUUAAGUCCCCCAACGAGCGCCACCCUUGGCAUUAAUUGGCAUCAUUAAAAAGGGCACUCUAAUGAGACCGCCGGUGACAAACCGGAGGAAGGUGGGGAUGAUGUCAAGUCAUCAUGGCCCUUAUGGCCAGGGCUUCACACGUCAUACAAUGGUAGGUACAGAGGGUAGCCAACCGGCGACGGGGAGCCAAUCUCAGAAAGCCUAUCGUAGUCCGGAUUGCAGUCUGCAACUCGACUACAUGAAGUCGGAAUCGCUAGUAAUCGCAGAUCAGAAUGUUGCGGUGAAUACGUUCCCGGGUCU